This is a long non-coding RNA of Gordionus sp. m RMFG-2023, 332 nucleotides long. RefSeq lists it as uncharacterized. Lineage: Eukaryota; Metazoa; Nematomorpha; Gordioida; Chordodea; Parachordodidae. The record is from RefSeq and is a predicted model, not a curated record. The transcript is spliced from 4 exons.
ACAAUUUACUGAUCAUUAACAAACAAACAUAAUAUAAGAAAAGAAACACAUAAAUUGAGAUGGAAAGCUAAGAAACUAUCUUCUUCUUAAUUUAUUGAUCCUUUCCUUUUGAGUUGGGCUUGAGUAGAGUGAAAGCUAAAGGAAACUUUUGUGCGCCUAAUAUUUGUAUUACAACAAUUUACUGAUCAUUAGCAAACAAACAUAAUAUAAGAAAAGAAACACAUAAAUUGAGAUGUAUGUAAAUAGUCAAAAAAAUGCCAAAAGGAAAUUUAAAGGUGGAGCUGAAAAAUUAAGAAAAAAAAAUGCUGCUGGUCUCAAAGCAGCUGGUGCUG